Equus caballus (horse) is the source of this 9615-nucleotide long non-coding RNA. NCBI's taxonomy places the organism in Eukaryota, Metazoa, Chordata, Mammalia, Perissodactyla, Equidae. The record is from Ensembl.
CAGAGUUAUAAGCUUUGGAUAUAAUACAGACAUGCAACUUUUAUUCUACCUGGCUUAUUAGUAAAAUAAGCUCAUGUUAUCUCUGUUACAAAAUUUGUCAGCAAGAAAAAGUAACUUAAGAUGAUGGCUAACUGCUUUAAUGUCUCAGGAAAUUUUCAUGAAUAAUUGAAUUGUUAAGAGCAAAUGAAUUAUAUAGAUGUUAAUGAAAUAAGAAUUUUUAGGUGCAAUAAUUACGUUUAAUGGUAUGUGUACUUAAAAAUAGCUUCCCCAAAUCCCUUUGGUAACUUGAAACUUUACAGUUUUGUUAAAUUAAACUAAGUGGUGGGAAAUUCAUUGAAUACCUAGAUCAUUCCAAGAUAAAAUAGUAAAACAUUAAUUACUGAACAAAGGUUUACCCACUUUUGGCUUCCUAUUGCAGAGAAACUACAGAUAAAUUUGGGUCAUGUCUUGUGCAACAUUGAAAGAUUGUACUAUGAAGAAACACGUGUUUCUAGAAAGUAUAUGAUAUAUUCAUAAAUUUGCCAAUCUAAAGAAUAUAGGUAUAACAUACCAUUCAUAAUUGCUUACUUCUUAGUUUUCAUCUGAAAUUAAGGCUUCUAAGGGUUAAGAAUUCUAAUUAAUAUAUGUAAUUAAAGCUACUAAAAAUAAUAAGGAAAAAAAUCUUUGUAUGGAAGGAAAAUCAGAUAUAAGGUUUUGAAAAAAAGGUAUGAGGAAUGGAGAUCCAUUUUUGUUGAGGGAAAGAAAAAUAAUUUUGUUCCAAAAUAAAACAGGUUUAUUUCUGAACGGCAAAGAGGGAAAAGGGCAAACUAAAAAGUUAGAGAACCUUUAUGAAUAAGGAAUCUUUGGAAAGAGAUUCAGAAACUCUUAAUGAGUAUUCAUAUUUUCUUGACAAUCUGUUCUCCUUGUAACAGGACACAAUUAAAAAUAUUGCUUAUAUUACCAAGGCUUUGACUCAAAUGUCAUGUUUGAGAGAAAUAUGCAUAAACUCAAAUAUGACCAAACAGCUUUAAGGAACUAAGGUUAGCUCUAUAAAGCCAAUAAAUCCCCUUGGUAAAACAGCCUGGUACCUUACCUACAGGAUUCCUGGCAGCCUAACCAGGUGAUUAAAGAAGGUCAUCUCCUGCCUGGUGCAGAAACCUCAAGAUAUGUUGGGAGUCUCAAGAAGAGAGGCAUUCACCCAAAUCUAUAGGUAUUACAGGCAGAGUGUGAUGGUAAGUAUUUGGUUUGGCUUUUUAGCUUUGAGAGGCUAUUAAAAGUUCAGUCUAGAGAUUCUUUAUGAAAAGUUCUAGCAAAGCAAGUUUAAAAGCACCUAUAUGAUCAAUUAGUAUUCUUGCUGUACUUAUGUAGAUAACUAAGGCAAGUUUAUUAAGACUAGACUUAUUUUGCAAACAAAUUAGUGGGUUUUUUUUAAGAUUGGCACCUGAGCUAACAUUUGUUGCCAAUCUUUCUUCUUCUUCUUCUUCUUCCCCCCAAAGUUCCCCAGUACAUACUUGAAUAUUCUAGUUGCAGGUCCUUCUAGUAGUACUCUUUGGGAUGCUGCCUCAGCAUGGCUUGAUGAGUGGUGCUAGGUCCACGCCCAGGAUCUGAACUGGCAAAACCCUGGGCCGCCAAAGCAGAGCACAGAAACUUAACCACUUGAUCAUGGGGCUGGCCCUGCAAACAAAUUAGUCUUAAUUUGACUAUCUUUGGUAAAAAAAAAAAAAAAAAAAAAAAGAGGAUGAUUUUAGACAGAAAAAUUAUGUUUCAGUAGAAACUAUAAUUCACACUUGUGGAAAUUAGAUUCUAGUGCUGUUAAUUUUCCUUGAAGUUUUAUUUACCUAAAAAGUGAACUGGAUCCUAAUUUCUUCUAGUUUCCUCCAAUAUCUAGCUACAACUCUCCAAACUAACAUUUCCAAUUUUUCUCCCACUUUUGACUUAGAAUCAUUGAGAACUAAAGCUUCCUUUUCCUGGAAGCCCUGUGAGCUGAAGCUGAACAAGUUGAUAUAAACUUAAGAGCGAUCACCACAAUAGCCUGUGUUUAGACAAUCUCCAUGCCUGUUUCUGUGUAAGUCACUCAGAAAGUUUGCCUGAACACCCAAUAACAUCAUCAGAGACAUUUCAAACUGCAAAAGAUGCUUCAACCCUGACAUCUAGAAAUCUUGACUGACAUCCCCUUAGGUUCAGAAACUUAUUUAUAAUUUGCUCCAACCAUUAACCACUGUUUUUAUUUGUUUCCAUAGAAAUGCCUCUUAUUAAAUACCUGAUUGCUGACAUUGUAGACCUAACUUUGAGAAUCUACCUGCAUCACCACCUCCUGAAAUGAGACACAAUUGUUUAACUUAACUGACUUAUUUUUAAGACUAAAAGAUUAAUUUAAUGACAUAAUGGAGCAGUCUGCCAGCUCAUAUUUUAAUAUGUGAAACUUCCAGGGAAGUUUCAGAGGGGGGAACUGUUGGAGCCCAGGAAAGGCUGCCCCAAAAUAUGUCACAACAACAUACUGAUUAUUUUAAACUAAAGUUACUUGUUCUGGCUUAAAUUUUUGACCCUCCUCUCUGUUCCCCCUGAAAGCAGGGAAUAAAUCUCCUGUGUGAAAUGUACCCUCCCCACACCCAGAGAUAGAGACAUCCUUAUCACCAAAGUUAGGGAAUUCAGGAUUGAGAAGCCUGUAUAAACAAACAUUGUUACUUUUACUAAUUUACUACCUCAAGCCUAAACUCUGCUCAAAUUCCUCACUAAUUACGUACCCUAAACCUAAGUUUUUUUAUUCUGUCAUUUCCUCACAAAUUUAUUGUUUCUUUGUAUAAAAAGAUAUAGAAACUGCCUGCUUUGUUCACUUGGAGGGCAUCAUUUCUCUAUGAUCUCCUGUGUGUAUGUAUUAAAUUGGUUUUUCUCCUGUUAAUUUGGUCUUACGUCAACUUUAUUAUUAGUCCAGCCAUAAGAACUCAAGAGGGGUAAAGGAGAGAAGAUCUCCCUCCCUGACAGAUGUUAACUAAACUUCUUGUGGUAAUUAGUUUGCAAUAUAUAUGUAUCUCAAAUCAUUAUGUUGUACACCUAAAGCUAAUACAAUGUUAUAGGUGAAUUAUAUUGCAAAGAAAUUUUUUAACAGUGAAAUAGACUGAGAUGGUGAGAUCUAAUAUUUUUAUUGGCAAGUGCAAAUUUAGUUCAUACAUGAAAUAUGUUACUAAAUUUGACUAAUAUUUAAAUUGAAAUGUAUUCUUUCUUUAAGGUGUGUUUGAAACUAUAGACUGAAUCCAGAAAAUAAAGAUUACUACUGGAUAUUACCAGAUUGUUACUAAAAGUAAUUUUGUUGUAUAGCAGAGUGGGGGAUUGUUAAAAAUGAUCCACUCCAGGUGUUAAUUAUGUAAGGUUCAUCUUGGUCUUAAAUCUCAAAUAAUUUGUUUUCCAUCUCCGUUUCUGGGAGGCAUCCAGUUGCUGACAGUCACUCAAGAAAGGAAGGCAGGCUCUCUUUAUUACCAAACUGGAUCCUGCUUUAGAGAAGCUGGGAGAGUAGUGCUGGGCUGGGAAAAGCUUCUCAGAGGUGGAGAAAAUGCGAUCGGCAGUUCCAGCAGAGUGUGCGGGCUCUCUCCCGCUUCCUCCAGCACUGGUGCCAGAGGAGACCAUGCUCCAGUUUCCUAAUCCUCUCCAAGGCCAAGCUCAUCUUGCUUCUGCAUCUUCCCUUCAUUUAAGGAGGCCCUGUUUGGGAAGAUCUUAGAGCACCUAACAAAUAGCAACUUUGGUCUGUGAGCUAGAGAGGCGUUCGAUUUGUGCAUCCAAGACAGAAGAGCAGGGUCAGGGAAGGGCUACCCAUUGAAAGUCCGGCGGUGAGUGUGUUCUGGCUACAACCUCACCCAUGAUAUAUGCAUCUGGUUAAAUCUAGGCAUAUGCUUCAAGAGUGGUAUAAUUUCAUCCCUCCUCUCUCUGCCAUGGAAUUUGGUCAGUUUUUACCCGUUGAAAGAAACUGACAAUGUUUCUGUCCCUUCUUGUUCGCAUUGUUGCAAUGUUUCUGUUCCUGUGGUUUGUAGUGGAAGCAAAGUUCCCACCCCCAAAUUGGAAGGCCUCUGGAAAAGCAACAACAUCCCUUCGUUACUAGCAGUAUAGCCAACAGUUACUAGCAGUAUAGCCAACUCCAUUCCCCAAUAGCCUCCAAGCUAGUAACAACUAUUACCAUUUACUAAGGAUAGAACUGCAUGUCAAACAGUUGUAUCUGCUUCAUUUCUAAUUCUUGCAGUAACUUCAACUUAUAGGCGAAGAAACUAAAGCUCAGAGAAGUCAACCAAAGUUGCUCAACCUCACCCAGCUAAUGAUAUGAACGGCAAGCCCACAUGUAGGGCUUAUGGAGUGCUGGGCACUCCUCCAGGCAUAGUAUAGAAAUGAGCUCACUAUUCCUCCCUUACAUCUUUUUUUCAAAGUUUUUGUAAAUUAUUUUUGAUUGUGGCAAAAUCCAUAUAACAUAGAAUUUACUUUCUGAACCAUUUUUAAAUGUACAUCUCCAUGGCAUUAAUUGCAUUCACAUUGUCGCGCUAGGCUCACCACAAUCCAUCUCCGGAAUUAUUUUCAUCUUAUAAAACUGAAACUCUGUACCCAUUAAAUAAUAGCUCCCCAUUCUCUCCUCUCCUCUUCCCCCAAAUAUUUUAAGGCAGAUACUAUUAUUAUCCCAACCCCACCCUACAGAUGAGGAAACUGAGACCCAGAGAGAUUCAGUAACUUUCCCAGAUCACAGCUAGUAUGUGGCAGAGCUGUAAUUCACAGCUAGACAAUCAGGCUCCGGAAGUCCAGUGCUUAGCCACUCUAGGGCCCCAGGGACAUCUAACAGUGUUAUGCUAUACUGUCUUUCUGCUAUUAACCUAUCCAGAAGACCAAGAAACGGGGACCUAGAAAGUUGAAACAAAUUGCAGAUAAAUCCUUGUAAAGGCAGAAGAGGGAUUUGCAUUCAGACCCCGUGGAUCUCAAGCUGCCUAGCCUGUGGCUUCCUGCAGGAUGAUUAGAUUAGAGCAGCGACCAUAUGCCCCUUGAGUCCCGCUCUCUGCUUCCAUCCAUACCCCAAAGCAGCUCAGGUCCUCUCCCCUCAGUCCUGUGUGAAGUCAUGGGCUCCAGCUUGCUUGUGAUGAAGGAAGUGAAUUGCAGGUUCUGGCCAGUGAGUAGUAGGCUGGGCCCCAACUGGGACAUCCUGACUUGACCCUUCUGUACCCUGAGGGGAUGCUGUCUGUGCUAGAAUAGCCUGUGCUCUCCAUAGCUGCUGAGGAAGCCCCUCUUCACCUUUCCAGGCCAGAGCUUACCUCUCUCACACUUCUGUCACCUAUCUAACACUGAAUGGAAGACCAGCUGGACCCUUACCUAGCACCUGCAUUCAAGUGGGUGGCGUCAAGGAGGUGGCACUGUCCUGCACACACGUUUCACAUCCUCAUCCUUAUUUACUUCUUCUAGCUUUUCCUUCCUGUUUCCAGCCCUCAAAAUGACCAGCCCUGAGGAAGAGCAGCUUCACUAUGACAGUUGAUAGGAGGUUUUUCCAGUUGAUCAAUGUCAGCUUGGCACCCUUCCUGGGUAAGGUAGAACCUUAGAGCUCUAAUUCGUCAGCACAUUCUAUGAGCUUUCCCCAGAAUAAAUGCCACCACUAACCUCUGCUCACCCCUCCACGAACAACACCCUAGUCCAAGCCCCAUGUUCCUCGCCUGGCGAGCACUCAGACCUCUCUCAACCCUGACACCUCCCAGGCACAAGUGGCCAGAGUCAGCCUUUAAAAAGUCAGUCAGAGCCUCUAAGAUCAGGAACAAGACAAGGACGCUCACUUUCACCACUUAUAUUCAGCAUAGUACUGGAGUUCUAGCUGGAGCAAUUAGGCAAUAAAUAAAUAAAUAGAUAGCAUCCAAGUGGGAAAGGAAGAAGUAAAAUUAUCUCUGUUCACAGGCGACAUGAACUUGUAUGUAGAAAACCCUAAAGAUUCCACAAAAAUCUGUUAGACCUAAUAUACUCAUUUAGCAAAGUUGAAUCAACACACAAAAAUCAGUUGUAUUUCUAUACACUAACAAUGAACAAUCUGAAAAGGAAAUUAAUAUAACAAUGCUACUUACAAUAGCAUCAAAAAGAAUAAAAUACUUCAGGAAUAAACUUAACUAAGGAAGUGAAAGACUUGUACACUGAAAACUAUAAAACAUUGCUGAAAGAAAUUAAAGAAGACACAAAUAAAUGAAAAUACACCCUGGUCAUGGAUUGGAAGACUUAAGAUUGCUAAAAUGUCCACGCCACCCAAAGCUAUCUACAGAUGCAGUGCAAUCCCUACCAAAAUACCAACAAGGUUUUUUCAGAAAGAGAAAAACCCACCCUAAAAUUCAUAUGGAAUUUCAAGAACAAAGCUGGAGGACUUAUACUUCCUGAUUUCAAAACUUACUACAAAGCCACAGUAAUCAAAACAGUGUGGUGCUAGUACAAAGAGAGACAUGUGGACCAGUAGAAUAGAAUAGAGAGCCUAGAAAUAAACGCUUGCAUAAAUGGUCAAAUGAUUUUUGACAAAAGUGCCAAGACCACUCAAUGGGGAUAAAUCAGUCUUUUCAGCAAAUGAUUGUUGGGAAAACUGAAUAUUGACAUGCAAAUCAUGAAGUUGGACGCUUACCUUUCACCAUACACAAAAUCAAAAGUUAAUUCAAAAUGAGUCAAAGACCUACACACAAGAACUAAAACAAUAAAAUUCUUAGAAGAAAACAUUGAGGGAAAGCUUCACGGUGAGAUUUAUCAGUGAUUUCUUGGAUAUCAUAAGAAAAGCAUAGGCAAGAAAAGAAAAAAAUAGAUAAAUCGGCUACAUCAAAAUCUAAACCUUCUGUGUAUCAAAGUACACAACUACUAGAGUGAAAAGUGAACCCAUGAAUGGGAGAAAGUAUUUGAAAAUCAGAUAUCUGAUGAGGGGUUAAUAUCUAGAAUAUAUAAAGAACUCCUACAACUCAAUAACAACAAAACAAAUGAUGCAAUUAAAAAAUGAGCAAAGAACUUGAGUAGACAUUUCUCCAAAGAAGACGAACAAACGACUAACAAACACAUGAAAAGAUGCUCAACGUCACUAAUCAUUAGGGAAAUGCAAAUCCAAACCACAAUGAGUUACCACCUCAUAACUAUUAGGAUGGCUAUUAUUAAAAAAAAAAAACAACCCAGAAAAUUUGUCAAUAAGAAUGUGGAGAAAUUAGAACCCUUGUGCAUUGCUGGUGUGAAUAUACAAUGGUGCAGCCUCUGUGGAAAACUGUAUGGUGGUUCCUCAAAUAGUUAAAUAUGGAAUUCCCACAUGAUCUAGCAAUUCUACUUCAGGGUAUAUAUUCAAAAGAAUCGAAAGCAGAACUCAGAGAUAUUUGUACACCCAUGUUUAUAGCAGCAUUAUUCACCAUAGCCAAAUGGUGGAGACAACCCAAAUGUCCAUUAAUAGAUGAAUGGAUAAAAUAAAAUGUGGUAUAAUCCAUAAAAUGGAAUAUUAUUCAGCCUUAAAAAGGAGAGAAAUUCUGACACAUAUGACAACAUGGAUGGACCUUGAGAACAAUAUGCUAAGUGAAAUAAACUAGUCACAAAAGGAUAAAUACUGUAGAUUCCACUUAUAUGAGUUACCUAGAGUAGUCAUAUUCGUAGAAACAGAAAGCAGAAUGGUUGAUUGCCAUGACCUGAGGGGAGGAGGGAAUGGGGAGUUGCUUAGUAGAUACAGAGUUCCAGUUUUUCAAUAUGCAGGGAGUUCUGGAGAUGGAUGGUGGUGAUGGUACACAACAAUGUGAAUAUACUGAACCAUAUACUGAAAAAUUAUUAAGAUGGGAACUUUAUGUUAUACGUAUUUUACAACAAAAAAGAAAAGUCAAUCAGACCAUCUUGCAUGAUGUCUCUGAGUCCCUCGUGGUUUUCCACCUCACUCAGAAUAAAAUCCAAACUCCGUCCCUGAGCUGAGAGGGCCCCAGGUUCAGCCACACAGGCUCUGCUUUCCCUGAACGUGCCCAGUACAUCCCGUCUUGGGGCCCUUGCUCUUCCUCUUUGUUCCAUCUUCAUGGCAGGCUCUUUUCCCAGAUAAUUGCAUGGCCCAUUCCUUUAUUUCAUUCAGGACUCCACAUAAACAUCACUUCCUUUGACCAUUAUAUUUAAAAUAGCACAUCCCUCAAACCCCGUAUCAUACUUUAUUUUCUUCACAACUUUCUUCAGUAUCUGGCAUUAUCUUAACCAUUCAUUAAUGUCUUUAUUGUCUGUCUCCAUCACUAGAAUGAGAACUCCACAAGGCUAGAGACUUUGCCUUGCUCAUUUCUGUGUCCCCGCUGCCUAGAACAGUGCUGGCCCACAGUAGAUGUUCAGUAAAGAUGAGUCAAAGGGACUAAUGAAGGAAGAAUACUGCACAACAGACAUGUUGGUGAAAUUGGUGGAGGAGGUAGAACUGGGAGCUACCAAACGGUGGAAUCAGGAUCCCAAAAGACCUCGAGAGCCACGCCUGAAGCUAAUAUUACAAGCAUUACGAUUUUACAUCAAGUUGGGAAGUACCCAAAAGCUGAAUCCGAGUCCAUGCAGAUUUUUCCAGAAGCCAGAGGACACCCCAGGGUGAGGAUCAUCUCCACCCGCUCUGUCUCAGCCACAGAAGGAAAAUGACGUGUCUCUGCGGGGCGCGAAGAGCAAGCUGCGCCGCUGGGAGCCCGCGGUCCCCUGCUCCAUCAGCAGGGCGCCUCUGGGUCUGUCAUUGUGGUGAAGCUGGGACCCGGCCUCCAGUGGGGCUACACUGCGUGGCCCCAGGCUAAUUCGGUACAGGUGCUGUGCCACUGCGUUGGGGUCCCCUCCCUGCAGGCUCUGACGGGCCAUCAUCUCGUCCUCCCCAGGGCUUCUCCCAUGCCUUGGCGGAAUGGCUUUGUGCCCCAACAAUGUGUAAAUGCCGAUGCUAUUUAACCCUUUGAAACUCUAAUUUUAUAAACAUAAUUCAUCUUAUCAAUCAUGCUAUUAUACAAUGUUUAUAAUAGAUCUAUUUUCUCUAUCUUCAUUGAGCAUCAUAAAGAUAUGUACGUUUCUAUGGACAAGAAUACACAGGCCAAAACCACAUGAGCAUGUACUUUACUUUUCCUUUAUUUCUAAAUUUAAAAUUCUUUGUUUGGAAAAUUUUCAGAUACAUCAAGUUUACUCCCUAACUACCUCAGUUGAGACUUAGAGGUCUCAAGUCAAUUAGGGAACCUUAGGAAAUGUGUUUUAAGUUGAUAUUAAAGAAAAUAUAAUCACCGUUAUUGUGACAAAUUUGCUGGAGAGACAACACCCAGGACAGUGAAGAUGGAGCGAUUCUCUAGGUUCAUGUAUUCUGCAGUGUUUUACACGAAGCCGUUAGUCGUUCAAUACACAUGCUUACAUCUACAGUCUUAAAUAUUUCAUGUAAGUAACAAGCACCUCUGACAAGUAUAAGGAAUUUGGUAUAUUCUAUUUAAUUAAGCUUGUGGUGAGAUGAUAAUUCCAAAGUCUUGCAUAAACUCAAAAGUUAUAUUUAAAUUAUAUUGCACAUUGUGACAAAAUCAGAGAGAAGAUAUAUAACUAUCUUUUAAUCCAAAAUUCAUAAUUGAUUAGGAGUAUUAAGUGAACUCAAAAUGUGGAUUUUUAUAUAGUUUUCAUGUCCUUAUUUUUACUAAGUAAUAUUAAAAUUCUUAAAAUUUUACCACA